AACGAACGCUGGCGGCAUGCCUAACACAUGCAAGUCGAACGAGACCUUCGGGUCUGGUGGCGCACGGGUGCGUAACGCGUGGGAACUAGCCCUUAGGUUCGGAAUAACUCCCCGAAGGGGGUGCUAAUACCGGUUAAUGUCAUCGCACCAAAGAUUUAUCGCGUUUGGGUGGGCGCGGGUUGGAUUAGCUAGUUGGUAGGGUAAAAGCCUGCCAAGGCGACGUUCCAUAGCUGGUCGGAGAGGAUGAUCAGCCACGCUGGGACUGAGACACGGCCCAGACUCCUACGGGAGGGAGCAGUGGGGAAUAUUGGACGAUGGGGGAAAGCCUGAUCCAGCAAUGCCGGGUGAGUGAUGAAGGCCUUAGGGUUGUAAAGCUCUUUUAGCCGGGAUGAUAAUGACAGUACCGGGAGAAUAAGCUCCGGCUAACUCCGUG
Molecule: ribosomal RNA, 433 nt
Filed under: uncultured bacterium
Lineage: Bacteria
Description: partial 16S ribosomal RNA
Rfam family: Bacterial small subunit ribosomal RNA
Source: RNAcentral